RNAcentral lists this long non-coding RNA (644 nucleotides) under Ananas comosus (pineapple). RNAcentral describes it as "long non-coding RNA (ACOM_LNC026431)". Lineage: Eukaryota; Viridiplantae; Streptophyta; Magnoliopsida; Poales; Bromeliaceae. The record is from RNAcentral.
AAAAAAAAAAUUGACAAUUUUUAACAAAAAAAUUUGACGAGCGAAAAAAAAAAAGAGGAGAAAAUGUAGAACUUCUAUUGUGAUAGAAGAGUCCGGCUAUUAUACUCUUAUCAUGAGUACGAUUGCCCUCGUACUCAUAAGUUGUUUUCGAUGAUAGAGCUUCCGAAUCGACGAUCCACACCGUUAAAUAUUAUCUAGAGUAUUUAAAACGUCUAGAAAUUAAAUUUUAUAAUUUUUCGACAUCAUUUACUUUAUGAUCAAAAGGUUAUAAAAUUGACAAUUUUUAACAGCCGGUAUAGAAUAUUUGCUAGUUUAAUGGUGUAAAAGAAUCGAAAUCGGUUUAAGUUUUGAUAGAAAAUUCUAUUCACUGCAUAGAUAAAGAUCAAUAACUCCGAUCUUAAAUUGAAGGAUCUGAUCAUCCAUUUUUAAGACGCUGUUCGAUUUUGACCGUCAUUUUAUACUCGCUUGAUGAAUUUUAUUAUGAUUUCGAAAAAUUACGAAAUUUAUUUUCUAGAAAUUUUAAAUAUAUAUUCUAAAUCAUAUUUAACGGAGUGAAUCGUCGAUCGGAAGCUCCAUUAUUGAAAACAACUUAUGAGUAUGAAGGGUUCUGUACUCAUACGAGUACAGCAACUCUAGCCUGAUAG